CACCCUAGAAACCUAUUCAGUAGGAGCACGGUGACUCCCUGUCCUUGGAAUACUCUUCCAAAUUGUUGUUUGCUUCUAGAAAUUGAGUCUAUGGGGUAGUUUGUCCAGCCAUCCCCAUAACUUCUAUAAUUGUUGGUUGAAUUCAGCCAGGUUAUGCUGAACAAUAAAUCCUACAGAAAUGAUUCCAUAGAGAUGUGCAACCAGGUAGAAGAGUAAGAAUAGCUUAAAUGCCUUCACUGGUAACCCUAUGCUUGUUUAUGAAACAAAAAAUCCAUGUGGAAAGAAGGACGUACUUCUUAUCUCAGCCUCUUAGUGAUGUCUCCCAGUUUGCUGGUCUUCUGUGGCCUUCAUCGUGUGGCAGCCAAGUCUCAGGGUUUUGCCGAAGCUGCCUGGGGCUUUGAAGUGGUCUGCCAGGAAGCCAAUGUCACAGGAGUUUGUAACUAGUGGGAAAGGGGCAGCGUGAGCAGCCUGGUGAGAUAGAUGCGUGUGGGAGCCUCACAAGCGAAGGCCUCAGCUGCCUGGGUGUGGUGAGAGGUGAUUCAUGGGCCUGCAGCCUUGCUAGGACCAGAUGAAGGUGUCCUUGUGAGCCAAUGUGCAGGGAAAAGGACUGGCUGGUAACACUGCCUUCCCUGCUGAACGGAGGCUUUAAGGCCAGAAAUUGCAUUUCCUUACCCUUCCAUAGCCUUCUUCCCACUAAGGCUGUUGUCAUAAGAGGGGAAAAAAACAAACAAACAAAAACCACCUUUUUCUUCUGAAAAUGCUAUCCCCAAACAUUUGUACUGUGGGAUGCUUCUAAUUCACUUGCAGAAAACUCAGAUGUGUUGAUUUUGGUGCUUGACUGCUCUAAUUUCUGAUUUUGGAUUAUCCCAAAACUCACACUUGAUAUGAGGGCUUACUCCUGGGAACAGAGCUGCUCUGUAGGAAGUUAAUACCUAAGGAAUCAAAAAUCAGCAGGGCAGUUCUCCUUGAGCUACGUGGAAUGGGCUCUGUGUGUCAUCCUUGUACUUCCAAGCUCGUUGAUGACUGGAUCACUGGAGAAAAAACUGCUUCCAGGAGGAGCUUUUUUCAAACACAUUAAAAAUGAGAGGAAAAAAAAAAAAAGCUGCGAA
Molecule: non-coding RNA, 1109 nt
Organism: Anas platyrhynchos (mallard)
Lineage: Eukaryota; Metazoa; Chordata; Aves; Anseriformes; Anatidae
Source: RefSeq, a predicted model, not a curated record